This is a long non-coding RNA of Macaca mulatta (Rhesus monkey), 1888 nucleotides long. The record is from Ensembl. NCBI's taxonomy places the organism in Eukaryota, Metazoa, Chordata, Mammalia, Primates, Cercopithecidae.
AGUCAGCGGCAAGUCUAGGCAGAAGCCAGGAGGUGUUAGGAACAGACUAUAAGAAAUGGUUGUUCUGGAGGAAAAAGGGUAAAACUUAUGAGGAAAUAACAGGCACCUGGGAAAACCCAUGAAGUAAGGUUUUGUAAGAAGUUGCUCUGCUCCCCGGGAGAAAAUGCCGAGCUCAACACUGCCAAGAGGAACAAGUCUGGGAAAUUACCACAUGAGAUGGAGGUGGAGCAUUUGGUCAUCAUUUCUGUGGAUAGAGAAACCGAAGCCGCAGAUGGAGAAACCGAAGUUCAAAGAGAUGUCCAUCCAGUAGAUCUGAUUCCAGUUUGAUCUUCUUCUGAAUUUUUUUUCUCAUUUUAUUUUGUUACGUAGACUGACAAAUGAAUUUGGUGGAAUUUGGCUAUAAGGUUAAGGUAUUGAGUAAAAAUGAUAGAAAUCAAUUUCUUUUUUGCCUUCUUAGUUAUCUGCCUUUUCUUCAUUUUUUAAAAGAGUUCUUAUUUUUAGCCGUGGUUCACAACCCUUCCUAUAACAGCAUUAGUAAAUUAAAAAAAAAAGAAAAAUUAAUGAAGGCUGUUGGCAUUACUGACUAUACAUUGCACACAAAAGAAAACUGGGUUUUUAAAAAUCAUGUACCCAGGUGGUAAAUUAUGUAGUUAUCUCUAAAGGAGCACUUAGCCAAUGUGAUCUCAUUAAUCCUCACAACACAAUCUCGAUGUCUCUAUUUUGUAAUAGUUGCAAUUUACCAGUAGGAAGUAAAUAACUUGACUAGAAUCUUGAUUUUAGAAACUCUUCGUUUUUGGAACCUCUGACUGUUAUGCACAUGUCUGGUCUGCCUCUCCAUAUUGAAAACUUUGUAAUUUAUCUAGUGUAUUACUUUCCUAGGGCUGUCAUAACAAAAUACCACACAUUGGCUGAUUUAAAGAACAGAAAUUUAUAUUCUCACAAUUCUGGAGGCUAUAAGUUCAAGAUCAAUGCAUUGGCAGGACUUCUUUUGUUUUCUAGAAUCUUGCUCUGUCACCCAGGCUGGAGUCCAGUGGCACGAUCUCGGCUCACUGCAAUCUCUCCCUCCCAGGUUCAGGCAAUUUUCCUGCCUCAGACUUGUGAGUAGCUAGGAUUACAGGUGCGUGCCACCAUGCCCGGCUAAUUUUUUUUUUUUCCAGUAGAGACGGGGUUUCUUCCUGUUGGCCAGGCUGGUCUUGAACUCCUGACCUCAUGAUCUGCCUGCCUUGGCCUCCCAAAGUGCUAGGAUUACAGGAGUGAGCCACCACACCCUGCCAGCAGUUUAUUUUUUCCCCGAGGCCUCUUCUCUUGGCUUGAAGAUAGCCACCUUCUAACUGUGUCCUCACAUGGUUAUCCCUCUCAAGUGUGGUCUGUGUCUUAAUCUCUUAUUACAAGGUCCUGUCAUACGGUAUCAUGACCCACCUAAUGACCUCAUUUUAAUUUAGUUACCUCUUUCAAGACUCCUUCUCCAAAUACCAAAUACAGUCAGACUCUGAGGCACUGGGGGUUAGGGCUUUCACAUAUGAAUUUUCUGGGGGACACAAUUCAAUCCAUACCAUUUAGUGUGACAUUCAAAAGUAAAACUGUAUAUGAACACUUUGUAAGAACUAAAGGAAAGGACAUAAGCUGUAAACUGGGAGUAAAGGAAUGGCACAGGGAUGGUGUUAAAGGGUUGGGGUUAGGGUGGUAUUUAAAGAGUUGGGCUAGAAAUUGCCCUUGGUCUGAUGUAAAAUGAAAUGUAGAAAUAGAGGCAACUCACUCAUAAAACCAGGCCAAUACUACAGCAUUUCUUUUGAUAAAUAUAAGCAAUUAUAAGAGUAUUCUGCUUCAUUUGUGUGGACAAUUAACUGUACACUAUCACUUUUCAGUAAUAAAUAAGUGGUUAAAUGGC